RNAcentral lists this small RNA (309 nucleotides) under Dickeya solani. Its description in RNAcentral is "cspA". Lineage: Bacteria; Pseudomonadati; Pseudomonadota; Gammaproteobacteria; Enterobacterales; Pectobacteriaceae. The record is from RNAcentral.
AAAGUGUCGGAUUCGGGUGCUUGACGGCAAGGGCGAUUUCACUAGAGUGUAGAGUUGAAUUGAUGUUGUUUUAAUCAAUUCGGUUUUGCCUUAACCCAAUAACCUCACCUUAGAGAACACUCUAGCCGAAGGAUGAAGAUGCAUGGAGACAGGUACUGUUAAAUGGUUCAAUAACGCCAAAGGCUUUGGCUUUAUUUGUCCCGAAAGCGGCGGUGAAGAUAUAUUCGCCCAUUACUCAACCAUUCAGAUGGACGGCUACAGGACCCUGAAAGCAGGUCAGGUAGUGCAAUUCACCGUGCACCAGGGACC